Epinephelus fuscoguttatus (brown-marbled grouper) is the source of this 292-nucleotide long non-coding RNA. RefSeq lists it as uncharacterized. The record is from RefSeq and is a predicted model, not a curated record. Lineage: Eukaryota; Metazoa; Chordata; Actinopteri; Perciformes; Serranidae. The transcript is spliced from 3 exons.
GCUAACCUCCCACUGCAGCAACGUUAGCUGCUGUUUCAACAAUGUUUGGCUGAAAAAACUUUCAUGCAGGCUGAAAUUCAACCGAGCUGAAGACUUGAGGAAGCGCCUGGAUUGUCUGUGUAUAGACCUUUUUCACGGCAGACAUUUUGACACGUCAGAGUAGGAGCAACACAGGUGUGUUCAAUGACACUAAUGACAGCUGCGUUCCACUUAGGGGAGACCCUGGCAGAUUGAGGCUUAGCUGAUUGGGCAAACCUACGGGGACAGAUGAAUUAAGCAGCACUGAAGACAC